UCCUGAAGAAAAUCAUGGAAUACUAGGAGAUAAGUAAAAAAGCACAUUGCAUGUACAGCAGCAAAUUGAUACUUUGAAAGGAAGCAUGUUACAUCCAUAGUCUUUUUUCCCCAACAUUAAUUCAAAGUACCCAGGAUUUUUUUUCUUAAAUUCAUAUAAAAAAACAAUAAGAAAGAGAGGAUAAAUGGGACUGGAAAUCUGCUAACUUCUAAUAGAACAAGUUACCACAAAUCACAAUCUUCAAUCUUGGUUACCUCCACC
RNAcentral lists this long non-coding RNA (261 nucleotides) under Elaeis guineensis (African oil palm). RNAcentral describes it as "long non-coding RNA (EGUI_LNC076347)". The record is from RNAcentral. Lineage: Eukaryota; Viridiplantae; Streptophyta; Magnoliopsida; Arecales; Arecaceae.